Long non-coding RNA from Passer domesticus (house sparrow), 5141 nucleotides. RefSeq lists it as uncharacterized. Lineage: Eukaryota; Metazoa; Chordata; Aves; Passeriformes; Passeridae. The transcript has 3 exons. The record is from RefSeq and is a predicted model, not a curated record.
CCGGCGAACUCCCGCCGCGGUGCUUUCCCCUCUUCCCCGGCUUUCGCAGCGCUGGGAAAGGGGAAGGGGUCUCUCCAUCCGCGCCCCCCCGCGCAGCGAUGUCCCGCGGGGGGCGCGGGCGGUGCCGAAGGUGCAGCCGGCACCGAGGGAACAAAGGCGGCGGCGGCGGGGAACAAAGAGCGGCAGGAACCGUUUUCUGCUCUGGGAGCGUCUGGGGUUACAGGUGAUGGGCAAAAAUGAAAUACUUCGUCACCGAUGUGCAGCACCCCCAAAUAAAAUUUAGAAGAUCGCUGGAGACCUCUCCAGUUUCUGCGCAGCGUCCACAGCCCUCCCCAAGAUGAGCUCUCCUCACCUCAGGCACAGACCCCAGAUCUGCCUAAAGAAAUUCUGCAAGAUUUGGAGCCCUGGUUUUCUGCAAGGAAUUUUUUCUUUUCCAAGUAAAAGUGAAUCCUGAACCUUUUCAGUGUCAUUUCAGCUGGAGCCUGAAAAUGCACUGACUUGCAGAACCAACAAUCAAAGCUGGCUACUACUUGACUGCCCUGCCUUGGCAAACACCUUCUCCAAUUCAUGCUUUGUUGCCAUCCUGGCAACAAACCAGCCCAUGAUGGCUCUUUGUGUACUUUUUUUACUUGUUUUAUUGAGGAUUAAUUAGUGUUUGUACAGUGGCACAGCUGUCUGGUGCUCCAUGGACACAGCUGAAGGCAAAGGCCUUCGGGCUAUGCUGUGGUUUCCUAAUUCCUGUGUUAUGGCUACUGUAAUGCAUAUCCUCAAAGUGAAACAAACAUUUCUGACUGAUUUAUGACUUUUGACUGCCAGCUUGCUUGUGCUAGAGGAAGGAGAGAAGAAGAUGCAGUAUCAAAAUCAAGCUGCAAUCUUCAAGAAUUAUUUCAAGUCUCCUGUUGAUCACUUGAGGCUCUUGCACACGCUAUGAAAUUCACCAGAAGUCAUCUCAUGGAGCCUUGAUCUUUUAUGCCUUGGAGAGCACCAUCCCACAUUAUCUCUCCAUGUUCUUCUCACUGACUUCACCCUGCCAUGAAUCACAGGGCUCCUCAUCCCAGCACACACCGCAGGCAUGCCAGGCUGUGUCAAACAGCACAGGUCCCAGCCCAAGGUGCUUGUUUUCACUCAAAUUACACAUUUCAUAGCUUGCUUGUAAAGCACUUUGAAGAUAUGACACUAAGUGUUGCUAGCACAAAAUGGUAUUGUUGGACAGGUUUAACGUGAGCAAUUAAACAGUAAUUCCAUAAAAAAGGUGCGAGCUAGAAGGUUAAAGGUAGAAUUAAGUCGUCUGUGCCUACUUUGUAUCCAAAUCUUCAGGCUGUUGAUUACUUGGACUGACACUGAAAAUAAGCUUUCAUCUCUUUUUCCACACAGCCUUCCAGCUAGGAACUGCUAAGGCCCUGUGCUCAGGCUCUGACUGCUUCGACAGGUACAUGUGUGCUGCCAGCAAGGAUAGCAAGUGGCUGACAUGGAUCAGGCUUUGUGGAAGGUGAAGGUCUGGAAGCUGUGAGAGCAGGGCUCUUGCCUGCUGUCUGUGGCUGUCCAAAAUGAGCUGGAUGGAUGCACAGAGCACUGGGGAAAGGCCCUACAGAGCAGCACUGUCAGGCAGUGAUGAAUAUAACUGCAGUGGGGAUGAGGAGCCCUCACAAUUCCCAUGAAAUUCCCUCCUGAAAGAGAGUCUGAUCAGCUCAGCAGUGAUGCUUGCCUCACCACCUUCCCACACCACCCAGAAUGGCCAGGGCACAGAGCUGUUUCAUGUACAAGGCAUCCAGGCAGUGAUUGUCCCCUGUGCUGGGCACUGGUGAGGCCACACCUCAGAUCCUGGGUUCAGUUUUGGGCCCCUCACUACAUGAAAGGCAUUGAGGGGCUGGAGCACAAGUCUGAUGAUGAGCAGCAGAGGGAUCUGGGGGUGUUUAGCCUGGAGAAAAGGAAACUCAGGAGACCUUACCUCUCUCUACAACUCCCUGACAGGAGGCUGUAGCCAGGUGGGGAUCAGGCUCUGCUCCCAGGGAACAAGGGAGGAUGAGAGGAAACUGCCUGGAGUUGCACCAGGGGAAGUUUACAUUGGAUAUUAGGAGAAAUUUCUGUACUGAAAUGGUUGUGAGGCGUUGGAAUAGGAUGCCUAGGGAAGUGGUGGAAUCCCCAUCCCUGAAGUGUUCAAAAGAGGUGUGGAUGUUGCACCUGGGGACUUGGUUUAGUGGUGGAUGUCAUGGUGCUGUGUUAACAGUUGGACUCAAUGACCUCAGAAGUCUUUUCCAAUCAUAAUUGGAAGAUUGGUCUAAAGAUCCCACAGGGAUCAAGAGCAUGAGCUUCAUGGUAGGAUAUUCCUUCCAUAAUGCAGAAUUUGCAUGUCUAGAUUCCAGCACUGGAAGGAGAUAAAUGUCCCCAAAUCCCAGCACCAUCUGGAUAAAGUGUUAACUCUGAAUGAUUGUGAUGGCUGUGUGAACUAGUUUUGUUUGGAUACUCCAAGUUAUGUUUGCUCUGCAGUCUGCCAGGAGAAACCUUUGGCUUAGUGACCCUUCUCUUUCCCCUGUGUGCAACCCCCUGUGCGGUGCUGGCACGGUGUGUGUGCUGGAGCUGGAGCUGGGAACCAGAUGAAAGUUAGCCCUGAAGAAGAAUACUUUGUUUUGAUCUGGAUUGCUCCCAGGGUUUGAUUGUGGUGUGGACACACAAAGAGGUAUGUCAGCACAACAGAGGGGGCAGCAGGAUCUAGCACAGGGACAGGAAUGCACAGCAGAAGAUGGAGCUGGGAACAGAACAACACAAAGCAAGAAAAUAAGGGAUCGGCACUGGGCCAGAAACAUCAGCCUCUGUGUCCAGCUGCUCUCUGCUCACCCCAUCCCUUGCAGGAGAGAGAAUUGGGAAAGGGGAAGAAGGGGUGAGAGUAGAAACUCACUUUUGGACUUUCCAAAGGACCUUCCACUCUGCUGGUGGAGCAACACCAAGGAAAUAUGGCUGCAGUUUUUGGUGGCAGUGAUUUGAUGGACCAGUCAGGUUAUGCUCCCUCUGUUGUGCUGGUGCAGCUCUUUGUGCUGUUGUGUUGUCAAACAGACCAGGAAACUGCAUAAAAAAAGCAGCACCCUCCCCUCCUCAGUUAUUUUUACCCUGGCUCAGUUCCCAGACACAAUUCACCUUGUCUCCACUGAGGUGCAACUGGAGGAAGAGUGCUGGAGUGGGAAAGUGUAGCCAGAAGCAGUAAAACAGGGCUCUGCCUAAACCCACUGUGCCUCUCAAAAAAAGCCCGUGGCUCAACACCUUGGGGAGAGUUUCCCUUCAGCAGUCACAGCCAGCUUGUUUGCCAGAAUUGGAGAGAUCAAAAAAGAGGAAAGGAAGGUUGAAUCCAUGCAGGCGCGUGCGACAUUUGCAUGCUAUUUUCCUCUGGAAAACAUAAAAGGAAGUCUGACAGUAAUCAUGUUAGAAAUGCUCCCUGUUCCCCUCCCAUUUGGUCUAAGCUCUGUGUAUGACACUGACCCUGGCAUGUAAGACGGCUCCAGCCGAUCUCCAGCACCCUCCAGCACCCGGCUGUUUCUGCUGAAGUCAGUGGAAACACUUUCAUGGUUACAGGUGCCCAUGCCUAAAUGCUCUGUUAGGUCACCAGCUAAUUUUAGGAUGGAGGAGUACAGUUCCAAAAGAGAAAAAUAGGUUAAUAACACUUAAGUCGCAGCAAAUCUGUAGGAAAUCUCCUGGAAUAGGUCCAUAAUUAGCAAAUCUAUACUUCCCAAAGAAGAAAUCCACACCUUUUCUUCAGUUCCUUUUUGCCCUUGAUUUUGCCUGUGGAUUGUGAUGAACUGAAGACUUCUACACUUGAGAUUAGUACCUGAACCUUAUGGCAGCAUUCAGGAGCCAGAACCAUGCACUUACAUCUUUCUAUACAGGAUUGCAUUAGGGAGGUGUUUGCUGUUUUAAAGUGAACAGUGCUGGUGUGAACUCCCAAAUUUUUCAGAGCUAAGGCACUGGAUUCUGCUCAUAGGGAGGCACAUCCCAGGUUAUCCUCCUGAGGACAGGCACCUGCCAUCUGAACUGUGCAGGGCUCAUUUUGCUCCAUUUGUAACGCAGGCAUCCUGCAUGAAUAAAGGUUUCCACCCUGUUUUCCCACCUUCCAAAGUGCACCAGCUUCUCAGUUACAGGUGAGGAGGGUUUGUUACACAAAGAAAUGGAAUUUCAGGUUUCACCCUGAAAAUUAAAAUUCAAAGGUGAUCAUCCCUAACCCUAAUUCCAUUUUAGUGGGGCUUUUUGGAUUGCAGGUUGUCUUAGGUUGCAAUGCAAGAUGUAACCAGGAGUAUGUAUUCUAUCACCAGCUGUUAAAACCAGGUGGGGCAGUUUGCUUUAUCUCUUCCAGGACCCAUUCACCCUGCAGGGAGAUAUCUUCUGUUAAUGGGCCAGUGAGUGUCGCUGAUAAAAUUACAUCAUCCCAUUGGGAGAUGCUCUGCCCAGGGGGAGGAGCCAGGCAUUCCUACCUGGAUAAAAAUUUGAGAUUUGGAACACAGUGGGAGUUUGUUUCCACUGGAUUCCUAGGAAGACCAGGCCCAUCUACACCACCACUGGACCUUCAGAGGAAAACUCCACGCUUCUCCAGGAUCACUGCUCCACCAGUGCUACACCUGUCACUGCACGAGAUCUGCAGCCACCACUGAAUAGAACUGCUACCAACACCCUGACCCACAGGGUGUCAGGUUGUAUUUAACUCAGUAUUUUUUUGUAUUACUGCAUUUUUAUUUUAAUUUUCCUAGUAAAGAAUUGUUAUUCCUAUUCCCAUAUCUUUGCCUGAGAGCCCCUUAAUUUAAAAAUUAUAACAGUUUGGAGGGAGGGGGUUUACAUUUUCCAUUUCAAUGGAGGCUCCUGCCUUCCUUAGCAGACACCUGGCUUUUCAAACCAAGACACAAGUAUUUACUGAGGGUAUUUACCUCUGAUCUAAGUCCUGCUUCAGGAUCCCACUUGAAACCUUGCCUUUGUGGAUCCCACUUGAAACCUCGGAUUCUUGAUUGACUUAGUGGGCUCAGCAGACUGUGUCUUAGAAAUCUGUUGGACUCCUGAUAAGAUCAGGUCAAGCUUUCACAGACUUUCAGGAGCCCAGAAGACCUUGACUCUAAUUUAUCAGUAAAUUCAGGCAAGGUUUUGGAUUCAGAAUCCCCUUAUCUUAA